Molecule: ribosomal RNA, 253 nt
Filed under: uncultured bacterium
Lineage: Bacteria
Description: partial 16S ribosomal RNA
Rfam family: Bacterial small subunit ribosomal RNA
Source: RNAcentral
UACGAAGGGUGCAAACGUUGCUCGGAAUUAUUGGGCGUAAAGAGCGCGCAGGCGGCUUGGCAAGUCGGGUGUGAAAUCCCGGGGCUCAACCCCGGGACUGCAUUCGAUACUGUCAGGCUAGAGGUAGGUAGGGGAGAUCGGAAUUCCUGGUGUAGCGGUGAAAUGCGCAGAUAUCAGGAGGAACACCGGUGGCGAAGGCGGAUCUCUGGGCCUUACCUGACGCUCAGGCGCGAAAGCUAGGGGAGCGAACAGG